CCCGGUGAUCAUAGGUUCCUGGCCAUACCCGUUCCCAUCCCGAACACGGUCGUCAAGCAGGAUCCGCCGAUGAUAUUGCCUUAGCGAGAAAGUAGGUUGUUGCCGGGG
This 108-nucleotide ribosomal RNA is filed under the name Planctomycetota bacterium. The record is from RNAcentral. Lineage: Bacteria; Pseudomonadati; Planctomycetota.